AUGGAGAAAAAGCAGAGGAAGAAGAGGAAGAAGGGGGUUAUUUUCCAGAGAGGAGGAGGAGGAAGGGGGGGUUAUUUUGGAGCAUCUGUCUUCCCUUCCAUUUCCUCCUUUUCUUUCUCCAGCUGCCAUCAAGCUGCUCUCUCUGGCAGCAACUUCCUUUCUCCUUCGCUCGGAGCAGACGGAGACUUAUGGGGAAGUAGAAAACAGAGGCUGGGAGAGGGGAAACUGAGGCCAAACCACCAUCCGUCCGUCUGUCCGGCUGCGGCGGGGGCCAGGGCGCAUCACAUGCUUCCUGCCCCGGGAUCAGGAGGACAAAGUCGCUCUGGGAGGGAGGAAAACUCCAUGGGACAAUUCGGAUCCAACACCUCGGAGUCAGCCAAGAACGGCCCAAAACGGCCCAAAUCCGUCCCCGCUUCAGGGGAGGAUCAGUCAGGGUUGGGAGGUUUUACACCCAGCCCUUGCCCCGGGACGGCUCUGGCCUCUCCAAAGGGAUUAUUCUUUCCAGGAAUCGAGGGAUUUCAUCCUCUGGAGCGCAGGGGUGGGAGGAGGGAUGGGCGAUGCUCGAAGCCAAGUGCUGCCAUGGGGCACCCGGCCCUCCCUGGCCGUGACAGCCCCACGGGGGUGGCUCCGGUGCCUCCUCCCAGCUCCCGUUAUCCAGCACCCGCCGGACACUGCGCUCUCGCAUUUCCCUUGGAUCUGGGGGGAAAUCGCCCUUUCCCCGUGUUUUAUCCACCUGGGAAAGCUGAGGCACAUCCAGGGGCUGCCGGGGGCAGCUCCGGGCUCUGCCCGUCCCGCAGCUCCCGCCCCUCGCGGCUCCCCAAACCCUCCUUUCCCGCCGGGGCUCCCGGUGACACCGGGGAGGGGACACACACGGAUGAUUCCCGGGGUGAGGAACGAGAGGCUUCGCCCCUCAGUGCAAGCACAAAACGGGCCGGUACCGAGCGCUCCCGGCCCCACGGACCGGGGAAGAUGGGAGGAACCGGGAGGUACCGGGAGGUACCCGGGGAACCAGCCCUUACCUGCAGCCUGCCUCGGGGAGAGCGGCGCCGGGACCGGGACCGGGGCUGCUCCGGUGCCCCCGGUGGGGCGGGACGGGGCGGGGCGGGAGGAGCGGGACGGGGCGGGAGGAGGGUCCCGUUUCCCUCGGCGCCUCUCCCUGCCUGGCGGGCCCCCGCAGCCACUACCAGUGCCCGGUGUCCUAUGUCUGGUGCCAGUUCCCGGUGUCCGGUGCCCGGUUCCCGAUGUCGGUUCCCAGUUCCCGGUGUCCGGUUCCCGGCUCUCAGUGCCCGGCUCCCGGGGCCGGUUCCCGGCUCUCAGUGCUCGGUUCCCGGUGCCGGUUCCCGGCUCUCAGUGCCCGGUUCCCGGUGCCGGUUCCCGGCUCCCAGUGCCCGGUUCCCGGUGCCGGUUCCCGGCUCCCAGUGCCCGGUUCCCGGUGCCGGUUCCCGGCGGGUCGGGGCCUCCCGCCCGCGGCCGCUGCCAAGUCCCGCGCGGGGCCGGGAGCGGCGGGGGCGGGGCUGGGGGCGUGUCCAUCGGGCAGCGCCAUCCAAUGGCGGAGCGGGG
Molecule: long non-coding RNA, 1560 nt
Organism: Parus major (Great Tit)
Lineage: Eukaryota; Metazoa; Chordata; Aves; Passeriformes; Paridae
Source: Ensembl